Molecule: long non-coding RNA, 4151 nt
Organism: Cornus florida
Lineage: Eukaryota; Viridiplantae; Streptophyta; Magnoliopsida; Cornales; Cornaceae
Exons: 3
Source: RefSeq, a predicted model, not a curated record
UGGUGACAAAGUAAUGGGACCACUAGGAAUUGUUUGGCCAAGAAAUUCCUUGGUGUUUGGCUAUGUACCGUGGCUUUGUGUAGGUAUCAAAAUUCUUUAGGCUUGGUUCAUGCACAUGGCUAAUAUAGUUUAGUUCUAAAGUGUAUCAUCAGAUGGAAGAGGAUAAGGGGGGCAGCGAAAUGGGAAAGCAAAAAGGAAAUGAUUAUUGUGUGGGCUUCACUUAAAGACUAAGUGAUUAGAUAAUUAUAUAUGGGCUGAUAUUUGUUAAGUGUCGGCACACUUGUCUAUAUAUUGAAUGUUUAGUGCACCUAGUAUGUAUUCGAGAUACAAAGAAUUGAGUAAAGAUGAAGAAAAAAAUUAGAGAAAUGCACAGACAGAGAGAUGGGCGAGAUUUUUGGUGCUCAGAUGAUCUAUGAUAGUUCUUUUGCAGUUUUCAGGUACCGAGGAUGAACUUGGAUUACUAGUAGCGGGCUUAGGUGGAAGAGUUGGCAUUGAAGAUUUAAAUUAUUUAUUCAGAGAUUUUUUUUUUUUUAAUUUUUAUUUGAGGAAUUGAUUCUGUAUCAAUAAAAAAGUUUUUUCUUUUGAGAUCUUGGGCGUAAUAAUGAUGUAUUUGGAUUUGAAGAAAUUGAGAAAUUUUAUGUAGAAAAUAUUCGGGGCAUGACAGAAUGGUAUCAGAGCCUGUGCCCAGCCGGAAGUGUGAGUUUGGUGAUGAUGUUGACAGGUGUGAGCUGGCUAGUGUUUAGUUCUGAUUAGCUACCUCUCGUAGCCUAGUGUGUGUGGGCGGGGAUCGUUCACUAACAGCUACUGGGGUAGUCAAUAAUUGUGCUUUGGUAUGUUGUAUUGUUUGAUUUAUUAUUGACUUCGUUUUUGUGGGCGGGUGACGGCAUUGAUUAGCUAUCACAAUGGUUGCGGAGUGUGUGGGCGGGUAAUUAGCACAGUCAGCUACCACAACGUUUUUCAUGUCACGGUAUCUCGCAUCGCCUCAGGUAAGGAUUUUUGGAUUUUGUUUUACCACUUUUGAUGUUUUCGGGUAUGCGAAAAUUUUUGGAUCUGAAUUUCGGGAUGAAAUUCUUUUUAAGUGGUGGAGAAUGUGACAACUUGGAUUUUUUUUUAAGAUUUUAAAUUAUAUUUAUCUCUUGAUUUUUUUAUUGACAAAAUUGAUUAUUUUAUUUUAAUUAGAAAUUUAUCCAAUUAGAGUUUCGGUGAUUUAUUAUCCAAAUUGGAGACUUACAGUUUAUUUUUUUUGGUUUCAUACUAUAUUAAUGGAUGGAGAUGAGAAGAUUUCCGCAGCCGAAUUAAAGGAAAAUAUUAAAUAGAGAUAUUUGAUUUCGGGUCCCACUUAAUGAAUGUCGAAGGAGAUUGAAUUUAGUUGGUUAUAUAUAUAUAUAUAUAUAUCUUUUUGGUGGAAAAUGCAUGCUGCCAACUGAAGGUGACGAGGAGAAUGGGUGGUUGAAUGAAAAAGUGAAAAAAAUAAAGAAAAGAUGGAAAUGUGAUGUAUUUUUGUGGGGCCCAUUAGAGGAGAAAUAAUUGAUUUGGUUUUUGUUACCUUGGUAUGUAUAAGAUUUGUAUAUGUAUGUUGCCUACCAAAAGAGAUGCACCAGCCGUGGGACAAGAAGAAAAUGGGUGGAUGAUGAAAAUGAAAAAUAAAGAAAUAAUUUUAACAAAAAAAAAAAAGAAAAAUAAAGAAAUAAUGGUGAUAAAGUGAUGGGACCACUAGGAAUUGUUUGGCCAAGAAAUUCCUUGGUGUUUGGCUAUGUACCGUGGCUUUAUGUAGGUGUCAAAAUUCUUUAGGCUUGGUUCAUGGACAUGGCUAAUAUAGUUUAUUUUUAAAGUGUAUCAUCAGAUGGAAGAGGAUAGGGGGGGCAGCGAAAUGGGAAAGCAAAAAGGAAUGAUUAUUGUGUGGGCUUCACUUGAAGACUAAGUGAUUAGAUAAUUAUAUAUGGGCUGAUAUUUGCUGUGUGUCGGCACACUUGUCUAUAUAUUGAAUGUUUGGUGCACCUAGUAUGUAUUAGAGAUACAAAGAAUUGAGUAAAGAUGGAGAGAAAAAUUUGAGAAAUGCACAGACAGAGAGAUGGCCGAGAUUUUUGGUGCUCAGAUGAUCUAUGAUAAUUCUUUUGCAGUGUAGGGAUCAUCAUACCUUGAAUGGCAUGGAUGAUUUUAUUUUAAAUAUUUUGUUGAUUGUUAUUUUGCUAAAAUAGCAUAUUUGUAUUUUGUUUAAGAGCAUAUAUAUAUUUUUGUGAAGCAAAUUUAUCAUGAAACUCUUUGAAAUCCUUGUUAUGGUUUUUCCUACUGUUUCACCCCCUUACAGUUUCAGGUACCGAGGAUGAACUUGGAUUACUAGUAGCGGGCUUAGGUGGAAGAGUUGGCGUUGAGGAUUGAAAUUAUUUAUUCAGAGAUUUUUUUUUUAUUUUUUAUUUGAGGAAUUGUUUCUGUAUCAACAAAAGAGUUUUUUCUUUUGAGAUCUUGGGCGUAAUAAUGAUGUAUUUGGAUUUGAAGAAAUUUAGAAAUUUUAUGUAGAAAAAGUUCGGGACAUAAAAGAAUGGUAUCAGAGCCUGUGCCCAGCCGGAAGUGUGAGUUUGGUGAUGACGUUGACGGGUGUGAGUGGGCUAGUGUUUAGUUUUGAUUAGCUACCGCUCGUAGCCUAGUGUGUGUGGGCGGGUGUCGUUCGCUAACAACUACUGGGGUGGUCAAUAAUUGUGAUUUGGCAUGUUGUAUUGUCUGAUUUAUUAUUAACUUCGUUUUUGUGGGCGGGUGACGGCAUUGAUUAGCUAUCACAAUGGUUGCGGAGUGUGUGGGCGGGUAAUUAGCACUGUUAGCUACCAUAAUGUUUUUCAUGUCACGGUAUCUCGCAUCGCCUAGGGUAAGGAUUUUUGGAUUUUGUUUUACCACUUUUGAUGUUUUCGGGUAUGCGUAAAUUUUUGGAUCUGAAUUUCGGGACGAAAUUCUUUUUAAGUGGUGGAGAAUGCGACAACCUAGAUGUUUUUUAAGAUUUUAAAUUAUAUUUAUCUCUUGAUUUUUUUAUUGACAAAAUUGAUUAUUUUAUUUUAAUUAAAAAUUUAUCCAAUUAGAGUUUCGGUGAUUUAUUAUCUAAAUUGGAGACAUACAGUUUUUUUUUUUGGGUUUCAUACUAUAUUAAUGGAUGGAGAUGAGAAAAUUUCAGGUGCCGAAUUAAAAGAAAAUAUUAAAUAGAGAUAUUUGACUUCGGGUCCCACUUAAUGAAUGUCUAAGGAGAUUGAAUUUAGUUGGUUAUAUAUAUAUAUAUAUAUCUUUUUGGUGAAAAAUGCAUGCUGCCAGCUGAAGGUGAUGAGGAGAAUGGGUGGUUGAAUGAAAAAAUGAAAAAAAUAAAGAAAAGAUGGAAAUGUGAUGUAUUUUCGUGGGGCCCAUUAGAGGAGAAAUAGUUGAUUUGGUUUUUGUUACCUUGGAAUGUAUAAGAUAUAUAUAUGUAUGUUGUCUACCAAAAGAGAUGAACCAGCCAUGGGACAUGAAGAAAAUGGGUGGAUGAUGAAAAUGAAAAAUAAAGAAAUAAUUUUAACAAAAAAAAAAGAAAAAAAAAAAGAAAUAAUGGUGAUAAAGUGAUGGGACCACUAGGAAUUGUUUGGCCAAGAAAUUCAUUGGUGUUUGGCUAUGUACCGUGGCUUUGUGUAGGUGUCAAAAUUCUUUAAGCUUGGUUCAUGCAUAUGGCUAAUAUAGUUUAUUUCUAAAGUUUAUCAUCAGAUGGAAGAGGAUAAGGGGGGCAGCGAAAUGGGAAAGCAAAAAGGAAUGAUUAUUGUGUGGGCUUCACUUGAAGACUAAGUGAUUAGAUAAUUAUAUAUGGGCUGAUAUUUGUUGAGUGUCGGCACACUUGUCUAUAUAUUGAAUGUUUGGUGCACCUAGUAUGUAUUAGAGAUACAAAUAAUUGAGUAAAGAUGGCGAGAAAAAUUAGAGAAAUGCACAGACAGAGCGAUGGCCGAGAUUUUUGGUGCUCAGAUGAUCUAUGAUAAUUCUUUUGCAGUUUUCAGUUACCGAGGAUGAACUUGGAUUACUAGUAGCGGGCUUAGGUGGAAGAGUUGGCAUUGAGGAUUUAAAUUAUUUAUUCAGAGAAUUUUAUUUUUAUUUUUAUUUUUUUAUUUGAGGAAUUGAUUCUGUAUCAAUAAAAGAGUUUUUUCUUUUGA